Molecule: long non-coding RNA, 1391 nt
Organism: Felis catus (domestic cat)
Lineage: Eukaryota; Metazoa; Chordata; Mammalia; Carnivora; Felidae
Exons: 10
Source: RefSeq, a predicted model, not a curated record
UUAUGCACAUGCCAGCUCCUCCUCACUCCACCCCGGGCCAAGACCCUUUCAGCAGCGCGAGGCCUGCUUAACAUAUGACUCUGGCUGCAUUACUGCGUGGCAUCCCAGCACCCAUUCGAACAUUUCAGCAAUUUUAAACAAGCUCCACUGACAGGGACUAUUAAACGGAAGCCAAAGAAGCACGCCGGGAGAGCACAUUAAUUAUGAGAUUUGCGCUCCAAGCCCUGAAACAGUUAAUUCCCUGCUCUGCUCUGUGCCAACGGAAAUGGAUGUCGCUGCUUACCUUGUAGAGCUUCAGGGCCGCCUCGUGCCUGUGAUUGGUGCUUGAUGAGAUUUGGCUAAUACUGCCCCUGCGUGCCUGUAAUCUACUGCCAAAUACCUGGGAUAAGGUAACGGUAUUACGGUUGUCAUCUGUGGAGCUGUUUUCCCUGUCAGGCUCCAUCCCUGCAACUUUCUCUGGCACCUCAUUAUCAAGUUGUGUCGUUCCACAUAGCUUUGAUGUGCUCUGCCCAUUUUCCUGCCUGGAGAUAGGAGGGGAGUCACACGUUUCCAUGGCAAUUGCUACAUGGGGAUCUCAUUUCAUCCAGCCUGUCAGGGACCUGGAUAAAAAAUAAGGCAGCAUCUCAGACCAUAAAUUCCCUCUGUUGAGAACAGGAUGCUACUCUGUAAGGUCAUAUCAGUUUCUGGCAGCAGGUUACCAAGUGUGCACAAACAAUGUAUACAUACUGAAGGCAGCCAAAAUGCCUAAAAUAUAAUCCCCUGCUAGACUGAAGGAAAUGAGGAAGUCAAGAAGAGACUAGAGAGUUGGAGUGGAAGCAGAGUGCACGAGAGAAAAUGCUUCUGCAAGAAGGAAUUAAUGAAGAGAACUGCAAAAGAAUGUGUGACGACCUCUUCUGACACGGCAAAAACUUUCCACCCAUGUCACGACAAAGGGGAGAAGGUAGCAAAAUACCAGUGUGGAGCAACUAUAAGGCAUGAGGUUUGCAGGUUUAUUUACUGACUGGUGUAUCUAUUAGGACCAAGAACAAGUGGAGCUGUCAGGACAUAAUGAAGAAAAAGACCCAGAAAUGCAUUAAACGUCUAAAAGCCCUCCAAACCAAAACAACCCAUGAUGAUGGAGUGGUAGAGGUGUAGGACGGUCCUCCUAGAUGUCAUCUAGGACAAGCAAACAUGAAGAAUGAUCAGUCACCUAAAUACACGAUGCUGGUGUGUGAACUCCUGACCUGAAUGACUAAAACACCUACUCGGGACUUGUCUUGGACCAUCAGGGCAUUAUGACAUAUUAACCAAGUCAAGCUGCCCAAUUCUUAAAUGUUGUUUGUUUAUUUUUUCAAUCUCCAGAAUGCUAAAGUGGCUAAUUAUAUCAGAGAUAAGUUGCUUGCCAAAUAGGA